GCGGAGAUUGUCGAGCGGCCAAAGACGCAGCAUUUAGGGUGCUGUCCCGAAGGGGUUCGCAGGUUCGAUCCCUGCUCUCCGCA
Molecule: transfer RNA, 83 nt
Filed under: Methanomicrobiales archaeon
Lineage: Archaea; Methanobacteriati; Methanobacteriota; Methanomicrobia; Methanomicrobiales
Description: tRNA-Leu
Rfam family: tRNA
About the family: Transfer RNA (tRNA) molecules are approximately 80 nucleotides in length.
Source: RNAcentral